This is a non-coding RNA of Microcebus murinus (gray mouse lemur), 227 nucleotides long. The record is from RefSeq and is a predicted model, not a curated record. NCBI's taxonomy places the organism in Eukaryota, Metazoa, Chordata, Mammalia, Primates, Cheirogaleidae.
GUGAGACUGAUGAGAAGAGAUCUCCAUUCUGAAGAGGAAAAGACACGUGUGGUUACCAAAAACUAAGUAACAAUCCUUUUCUAAGGGAUUAGUACCACCAUGCCCUCCAGUGCCUAACCCAGGAACCUGGAACCACCCAGCCCAAACCUCUCCCUUUUCAGCCUCCACGUCUACACCCUGCAGACUCGGAAACUAAUAACUAAGUAAACGAAUGGAACAUGUUGACA